Molecule: ribosomal RNA, 487 nt
Filed under: uncultured bacterium
Lineage: Bacteria
Description: partial 16S ribosomal RNA
Rfam family: Bacterial small subunit ribosomal RNA
Source: RNAcentral
GAUGAACGCUGGCGGCGUGCCUAAUACAUGCAAGUCGAACGCUGGAGAUCUAGCUUGCUAGAUCGAAGGAGUGGCGAACGGGUGAGUAAUACAUAAGCAACCUACCCACGAAGACUGGGAUAAUCUCUGGAAACGGGGACUAAUACCGGAUAGGUAAUCGGAAGGCAUCUUCUGGUUAUUAAAGGUUAAAAACACUGGUGGAUGGGCUUAUGGCGCAUUAGUUAGUUGGUGAGGUAACGGCCCACCAAGACGAUGAUGCGUAGCCGGCCUGAGAGGGUGAACGGCCACAUUGGGACUGAGACACGGCCCAGACUCCUACGGGAGGCAGCAGUAGGGAAUUUUCGGCAAUGGGGGCAACCCUGACCGAGCAACGCCGCGUGAGUGAAGACGGCCUUCGGGUUGUAAAGCUCUGUUGUAAGGGAAGAACGGUAGAUAGAGAAUAUCUAAGUGACGGUACCUUACCAGAAAGCCACGGCUAACUACGUGC